This is a long non-coding RNA of Panthera uncia (snow leopard), 574 nucleotides long. RefSeq lists it as uncharacterized. The record is from RefSeq and is a predicted model, not a curated record. Lineage: Eukaryota; Metazoa; Chordata; Mammalia; Carnivora; Felidae. The transcript has 2 exons.
ACCAACUCUGAAAAUAAAGUAGAUUGAUUUAAACAAUAACUUAAUGCAUGCUGUUACAAUGGAAAAGCAUUUGUACAUACAUUCUCAAUUUGGAUGCUCCAACUUGGCCACAACAGGCACUAUUUUCCUAUGACAAGAAGGGAACACAAGAGUUCUGGCAUGUCCGAUCAGAAGAACUAAUUUAUAGUAAUUACUGGAAAAUUCUAUUAUAGACUACUGCACAAGGAUGAGAACAAAAUUGAACAUUUUAAACAAAGUUAAGGGGGCUAGGAGGUUUAAAAUACAAUGCUCUUUGGGGCGCCUGGUUAUAUAGAAGACAGAUGAAUUGGGAUUAAUAAUUAAAAAAAAAAAAAAAAAUCCACGGACGCCUGGGUGGCUCAGUCGGUUGAGUGUCUGACUUCGGCUUAGGUCACGAUCUCGCAGUUUAGGAGUUCAAGCCCCGAGUCAGGCUCUGUGCUGACAGCUCGGAGCCCAGAGCCUGCUUUGGAUUCUGUGUCUCCCUCUCAAUCUCUCUCUCUCUCUCUCUCUCUCUCUGCCCCUCCCCUACUCAUGCUCUGUCUCUCCCUCUCUCUCU